This 313-nucleotide ribosomal RNA is filed under the name uncultured bacterium. Its description in RNAcentral is "bacterial SSU rRNA". It matches the Rfam family "Bacterial small subunit ribosomal RNA", at positions 584 to 896 of the family's 1533-position model. The record is from RNAcentral.
CAAGUCCGGGGUGAAAUCUUUCGGCUCAACCGGAAAAGUGCCUUUGAUACUGGUCAUCUCGAGGGAGGUAGGGGCAUGUGGAACUUCCGGUGGAGCGGUGAAAUGCGUAGAUAUCGGAAGGAACGCCGGUGGCGAAAGCGACGUGCUGGACCUUUUCUGACGCUGAGGCGCGAAAGCCAGGGGAGCAAACGGGAUUAGAUACCCCGGUAGUCCUGGCCCUAAACGAUGGGUACUGGAUUGUGGACUUGACAUGGGUUCACAGUCGCAGCAAAAGUGUUAAGUACCCCGCCUGGGGAGUAUGGUCGCAAGGCUG